Molecule: ribosomal RNA, 256 nt
Filed under: uncultured Gardnerella sp.
Lineage: Bacteria; Bacillati; Actinomycetota; Actinomycetes; Bifidobacteriales; Bifidobacteriaceae
Description: partial 16S ribosomal RNA
Rfam family: Bacterial small subunit ribosomal RNA
Source: RNAcentral
CGAACGGGUGAAUAAUGCGUGACCAACCUGCCCCAUGCUCCAGAAUAGCUCUUGGAAACGGGUGGUAAUGCUGGAUGCUCCAACUUGACGCAUGUCUUGUUGGGAAAGUGUUUAGUGGCAUGGGAUGGGGUCGCGUCCUAUCAGCUUGUAGGCGGGGUAAUGGCCCACCUAGGCUUCGACGGGUAGCCGGCCUGAGAGGGCGGACGGCCACAUUGGGACUGAGAUACGGCCCAGACUCCUACGGGAGGCAGCAGCA